RNAcentral lists this ribosomal RNA (239 nucleotides) under uncultured bacterium. Its description in RNAcentral is "partial 16S ribosomal RNA". It matches the Rfam family "Bacterial small subunit ribosomal RNA", at positions 94 to 334 of the family's 1533-position model. The record is from RNAcentral.
AGCGGCGGACGGGUGAGUAACGCGUGGGUAACCUGCCUCAUACAGGGGGAUAACAGUUGGAAACGGCUGCUAAUACCGCAUAAGCGCACAGUACCGCAUGGUACGUGUGAAAAACUCCGGUGGUAUGAGAUGGACCCGCGUCUGAUUAGGUAGUUGGUGGGGUAACGGCCUACCAAGCCGACGAUCAGUAGCUGACCUGAGAGGGUGACCGGCCACAUUGGGACUGAGACACGGCCCAA